Molecule: unclassified non-coding RNA, 529 nt
Filed under: Hevea brasiliensis (rubber tree)
Lineage: Eukaryota; Viridiplantae; Streptophyta; Magnoliopsida; Malpighiales; Euphorbiaceae
Source: RNAcentral
UUAUAAUGACACUAACAUUUCCAAGAUCGAUUAAUAUGCCUUCACAAAUACAAUUAAAUCUUAUAAAUGCACUUUAAAUUGCAUAAAAGAGAACUUCUUAAGGUUAACAUAUAACUUUGCUUCCCUAAGAGUAACAAAAUCUUGUCAAAAAUUAUCCAAAUGCACUUCUUUAGGUUGACUGUAGAUCAAAAUAUCAUCAAAAUAAGCUACCAAAAGCUUAUCAAUGAAAGAUUGCAUAACAUGAUUCAUGACACAAAUAAAAAUGUUAGGUACAUUUAACAAUCUGAAAGGCAUCACUAAUCAUUCAUAUAAUCCUUCUUAGAUUUUAAAAGUAGUUUUACAUUCAUUUCCUUGACUAAUGCAGAUUUGAUGAUAACCACUGCUCAGUUUUAGAGAACCAACAAGAACCUACCAAUGAAUUUAACAUAUCCUCUAGUCUAGGAAUUGAAAUCUAUAAUUAACAAUGAUUUUGUUUAUGGCUCUAUUAUGUAUACACAUUCUUCAAUAAUCAUCUUUUUUAGGUGUUAAG